Molecule: ribosomal RNA, 429 nt
Filed under: Bacteroidota bacterium
Lineage: Bacteria; Pseudomonadati; Bacteroidota
Description: Bacteroidetes bacterium partial 16S ribosomal RNA
Rfam family: Bacterial small subunit ribosomal RNA
Source: RNAcentral
UAGGGAAUCUUCGGCAAUGGGGGGAACCCUGACCGAGCAACGCCGCGUGAGUGAAGAAGGUUUUCGGAUCGUAAAGCUCUGUUGUUAAGGAAGAACGAGUGUGAGAAUGGAAAGUUCAUGCUGUGACGGUACUUAACCAGAAAGGGACGGCUAACUACGUGCCAGCAGCCGCGGUAAUACGUAGGUCCCGAGCGUUGUCCGGAUUUAUUGGGCGUAAAGCGAGCGCAGGCGGUUAGAAAAGUCUGAAGUGAAAGGCAGUGGCUCAACCAUUGUAGGCUUUGGAAACUGUUUAACUUGAGUGCAGAAGGGGAGAGUGGAAUUCCAUGUGUAGCGGUGAAAUGCGUAGAUAUAUGGAGGAACACCGGUGGCGAAAGUGGCUCUCUGGUCUGUAACUGACGCUGAGGCUCGAAAGCGUGGGGAGCGAACAGG